This 408-nucleotide ribosomal RNA is filed under the name uncultured bacterium. RNAcentral describes it as "partial 16S ribosomal RNA". It matches the Rfam family "Bacterial small subunit ribosomal RNA", at positions 28 to 526 of the family's 1533-position model. The record is from RNAcentral.
GACGAACGCUGGCGGCGUGCUUAACACAUGCAAGUCGAACGAAGUGGCGAACGGGUGAGUAACGCGUAAUCAACCUGCCCUUCAGCGGGGGACAACAGUUGGAAACGACUGCUAAUACCGCAUACUGCAGGCGUGGAUUGCGUCUGAUUCGCUAGUUGGAGGGGUAACCGCCCACCAGGGCGAGGAGCAGUAACCGGUCUGGGAGGAUGAACGGCCACAGUGGGACUGAGACACGGCCCAGACGCCUACGGGAGGCAGCAGUGGGGAAUCUUCCGCAAUGGACGAAAGUCUGACGGAGCAACGCCGCGUGAGUGAUGACGGCCUUCGGGUUGUAAAGCUCUGUUAAUCGGGACGCGGUACCGGAAUAGAAAGCCACGGCUAACUACGUGCCAGCAGCCGCGGUAAUAC